UGGUCAAGUUAUUAAGGGUGCAGGGCGGAUGCCUUGGCACUAGGAGCCGAUGAAGGACGUGAUAAGCUGCGAUAAGCUUCGGGGAGUUGCACGUAAACUUUGAUCCGAAGAUUUCCGAAUGAGGAAACUCACUUAGAGUAAUGUCUAAGUAUCAUUAAGUGAAUACAUAGCUUAAUGAGGGGAACUCAGGGAACUGAAACAUCUAAGUACCUGAAGGAAGAGAAAGAAAUUCGAU
RNAcentral lists this ribosomal RNA (235 nucleotides) under Clostridioides difficile. RNAcentral describes it as "partial 23S ribosomal RNA". It matches the Rfam family "Bacterial large subunit ribosomal RNA", at positions 1 to 235 of the family's 2925-position model. Lineage: Bacteria; Bacillati; Bacillota; Clostridia; Peptostreptococcales; Peptostreptococcaceae. The record is from RNAcentral.